Molecule: long non-coding RNA, 2328 nt
Filed under: Sus scrofa (pig)
Lineage: Eukaryota; Metazoa; Chordata; Mammalia; Artiodactyla; Suidae
Description: lncRNA (ENSSSCG00000052772.1)
Source: RNAcentral
GUAAUACUAUUGCCUAGUAAGCAUAGACCGCAUAUGUUACUACCCUUAAGGUUUAGCUAGUGAACCUUGAAACUUCCAAAUUUUGUAUUCGGUAAAAUGUAAGAAAGUUCCCUAAACAAAAUUAAUUGCACAGAUUCACAAAAUGCCUUAGAGGAUUUAAAUUCUAAGCUCCAAUUUCAUUAUAAAUACUUAUUUCAUCUUAUUUGGGAUAAAAUGUAAGAUCAUAUUAUAUUUUAGCAAAGUUUUCUAUUCUUUUAUUGCUCCAGGAAAUGUCUAAGCAUAUGUCAUGCAUAUUUAAGGAUAAUACUAAAGCAUUCUUAAAGCAUAUCAGCUCUAAUGAAUAAAAAAAUAAAAGACAAUUAUAGAUACAUUUGUACAGAAAGACAUUGAAGUAGACAAUGUCAUACAAGAAUUUAUAGUCAAGUUAUUAAAAGAAACUUUUAUAUAAAAAACUUAUUUUUUACCUACUAUACGUAAAAUAAUGAAAGACCUAGUCAAAGAGGAAUACCAAAUAACUUUAUGUGCAAGGUCAAGUGCCAGUCACUGUGAAAGGAAUAAAAUGUAAUAAUAAUAUGCAAUAGAAUAAUUUAUAUUUUAAAGAAAAUUGCAUAUUUAACUAUAAAACUAAGGUACAAAUAUAUUAAAAGAAGAAAAAUGUUAUACAACUAUGAAAUGUUAUAAGUAGAUAUAAAUGAGGAAUAAUGUUUAUAAUGAAUUUAAAAAUACUGAAAAAUCACUGGAAGAUGGGCUAUCCUGGGAAGGCUUCAAGGCAUGAGAAACUUUUGAGAGGAUAAUAGCAUAAAUAUUAUCAACAUAUGUAAUAUAUUUAUGUAAUUAUGUAGUCUGAAAUAAAUAUAAUUAAAGCAAAUUUACAAAUAUUGUUGCACUGGAAAUAUCAUAAACAUUUUGAUACAAAUCACAGUGUUGGAAAAUAAUAAUAAACAUGAAAAAAGAUUGACUUCUCUAAUAUAUUAAUAGGUUUGUAAAUAAAAAAACAUAAGAGCAAAAUACAAAUGAAAAUGACAAAAAGUUAAUAGGGAGUCACAGAAGUAGGUGAAAGAUCUCCAGCAACAAUUGAAAGCAUGCACAAUGUUACUAGUAGCUGGCAAAAUAUUGUUGAAAAGAUCAGUACUUUAAAAUUAUAAAAUUAGAAACACUUUAAUAUUCUAAUAAUCAGGUUGCUGAAAAUGUGGUGAAGUAGUAACUCUCAAAAUACUUGGAAUAUGAAUUGUUUUUUUAUGUAAAAUUAUUGGUCAUUAUGUUUCAAGAAAUUCAAAGGGGUUGAAAGUUAUUGGCCCAGAAUUUUUACUUAUAAUGCUGUAUCUAAAGAAAUAAUCUAGCACACACAAAGUCAUGAAUGAUGAUAGCCAUUACUACAUUUUGUACAACAUGUGAGGAAAUGUAAUGAAAUAGGUAUAAAUGAAUUUAAAAUAUUAAAUAUUCCCUGGAGAAAGAGAAAGAAAGAAAGAAAGAAAGAAAGAAAGAAAGAAAGAAAGAAAGAAAGAAAGAAAGAAAGAAAGAAAAAGGAAAAGAAAGAAAAGAAAGGCUAAAAAUAUGCUUGUCAGUUAUAAUUAUGAUUUUUGGGGAAAUUCUUUUUAUCUAAAUUCUAAGUAAUCUGUGGCAGUGAUUUCUUUAUAAAAGAUGUUAUGCAAUAUCCUUGGGAGCAAUUAAGUCAAAAAUAAAAAUUGGGUUUAUGUGGUACUUUUGUGUAUCAAGUGUCAGUAACAUUUGUGGAUAGACAAAUUAUAUUUCUGUUUGGGUCUAUAUCCAGUUGAAAUAAUAUAGUCAAGUUAUAUAUGUUUUACAUAUUAGAGAGAGAUUAUAGAGAUCUAGAGAGAUUAAUCAUCCGAGAGGACACUGGACAAGUAUCUUAGAUAUCACUGUUUAAAUGGAUCUUUCAUUAGGGAUGAAGCGUGUAUUUGACAAUUCAUGUCUUUCCCCAAUAUUCUAAGAUAUUUAUUCCAGUCCCGAAGAAACAGGCUUUUUAUAGCAUAUCCUUAGGUUAUAAGACAUGAAGUAUCCGAGUUAAGCUAUUUUAUAAAUGGAGGCUUUACAAAUCUCAUAGAGGGAAGAUGAAAGAGAUCUGUGAUAUAAUAUACAUGUGGGCACUGUUAGCAUCCUAUUUCCUAAACCAUUAUAGCAUCUUCAUAUAUUUCUUGUUAACUGAUUUUUAAGAGUUUUCUUUUUAACUUGAUACCCAGCAAAGAUGAAUUUUAAAUAGCACCAAAUAAAUCAAUAUUUUGAAUAUAUGUCAUAAAUACUACCAAUCAGAAUUCUAAGAAUAGUUUAUUUAACAUAGUUAUUUUUACCUGUGUAUCUUUUUAGUUA